GGAUGUGAGGGCGAUCUGGCUGCUACAUCUAUCAUCUCAUUGAUUGCCAGGGUUGAUUCGGCUGAUCUGGCUAGCUAGGCGGGUGUCCCCUUCCUCCCUGACUGCUCCAUGUGCGUCUCUCCCAAAGCUGCCCGCUGAGUGGAAGAGGUCGGCCUUCCCCGAAUAGAGACGGACAGGUCUUUGGUUAAGGGUAUACGAGUAGCUGCGUUCCCCUGCUAGAACCUCCAAACAAGCUCUCAAGAAUCAGAAAGGUUGGGAGUUAGGCGGUAGC
Molecule: unclassified non-coding RNA, 271 nt
Organism: Erinaceus europaeus (western European hedgehog)
Lineage: Eukaryota; Metazoa; Chordata; Mammalia; Eulipotyphla; Erinaceidae
Gene: 7SK
Rfam family: 7SK RNA
About the family: 7SK was discovered as an abundant small nuclear RNA in the mid-70s but a possible function has only recently been suggested. Two independent studies have found that 7SK RNA binds the CDK9/cyclin T complex (known as elongation factor P-TEFb). P-TEFb activates transcription by phosphorylating the C-terminal domain of RNA polymerase II.
Source: Ensembl